Molecule: small RNA, 85 nt
Filed under: Flavobacterium defluvii
Lineage: Bacteria; Pseudomonadati; Bacteroidota; Flavobacteriia; Flavobacteriales; Flavobacteriaceae
Description: Flavo-1 RNA
Rfam family: Flavo-1 RNA
Source: RNAcentral
CUCUAGCCCUGAUGGAAGCGGCAUCCUUUUAUGGCCUCGUUAAAAGACGAGGUGAUAAAAGAUAUAGCGGACAGCAGGAAACAGC